UCAUCCAACAUGCAGCAACAUGUUCCACAACCUUGGUGCAGCCGCUGAUAAUUUCAGUUUCUAAUGUUGUAGGUAGAAGAUUAGAAAUUGAAAUGAUCAGUGGCUGCACCAAGGCUGUGGAACAUGUUGCUGCAUGAUGGAUGA
Molecule: non-coding RNA, 144 nt
Organism: Podarcis lilfordi (Lilford's wall lizard)
Lineage: Eukaryota; Metazoa; Chordata; Lepidosauria; Squamata; Lacertidae
Source: the annotation of a GenBank genome assembly